RNA transcript from Sapajus apella (tufted capuchin), 2271 nucleotides. It is a transcript of the gene named coiled-coil domain containing 151, with no coding region annotated. The transcript has 13 exons. The record is from RefSeq and is a predicted model, not a curated record. Lineage: Eukaryota; Metazoa; Chordata; Mammalia; Primates; Cebidae.
CCGCCCACUGUUGGGACGGUCCCUCCAUGCAGCGUCAACCAAUGAGAACGCAGUGUCAGCCAUGGAACGCGUGUAGUCUCCAUGGAAACACUGGAGCGAAGGGGAGGCGGUUACCUAGCAACCGAGAGAUGCGGAGAGCAACCGCCUAGCGGUUGGAAAGUGCAUUUUUCAGAGUCCUAGGAAUCCGAGCUGACCGAUCACUGACAGGGGCGAUUGACUCCUAGUUGUCCCCCUAAACCCUAGGGGCCUUUGGCCCCGACCCCAUCAUGACGUCCCCCCUGUGCAGGGCGGCCUCUGCCAACGCCCUGCCUCCUCAGGAUCAGGCUUCGACGCCCUCUUCCAAGGUCAAGGGCAGGGAGACUUCGGGCAAACCCAGCCAUCUCCGAGGAAAGGGCACAACCCAGGCUUGGACCCUCGGCCGAUCCAAGGCAGGAUCCUUCCGCAGAGGUUCAGGGAAGUCCUCUAUGCACUCGCAGGUGGCUGAAUUACGUAGAAAGAUACAACUGCUAGAGGGUGACCGGAAGGCUUUUUUUGAGAGCUCACAGUGGAACAUCAAGAAGAACCAGGAGACCAUCAGUCAGCUCCGUGAGGAGACUAAGGCACUGGAACUAAAGCUGCUGGACCUGCUCAAGGGAGAUGAGAAAGUGGUCCAGGCAGUGAUACGAGAAUGGAAGUCAGAGAAGCCAUACCUCAAGAACAGGACAGGCCAGCAGGCUCUGGAGCACCUAGACCACCGGCUGAGCGAGAAGGUGAAGCAGCGGAACGCCCUGCAGCACCAGCUGGUGUUGCGGCAGAGGCGGCUGGAGGAGCUCCAGCUACAGCACAGCCUGUGCCACCUGGAGAUGGCAGAGGCGCAAAACAGCCACUCGGAGGUGGCCAAGACCAUGCGGAACCUGGAGAACCGCCUGGAGAAGGCCCGGAUGAAGGCAGAGGAGGCCGAGCACAUUACCAGCGUGUACCUGCAGCUCAAGGCCUAUCUACAGGAUGAGAGCCUCCACUUGGAGAACCGGCUGGACUUCAUGGAGGCUGAGGUGGUGAGGGCCAAACACGAGCUGGAGGCACUGCACCUGGUGAACCAAGAGGCCCUCAACGCCCGGGAGAUUGCCAAGAACCAACUGCAGUAUCUGGAGGAGACCUUGGUUCGAGAGCGCAAGAAGCGGGAACGCUACAUAAGUGACUGCAAGAAGCGCGCUGAGGAGAGGAAACUGGAGAACGAGCGCAUGGAGCGCAAGACCCACCGUGAGCACCUGCUGCUGCAGUCUGAAGACACCACCCAAGAUAGCCUGCAUGCCAAGGAGGAGGAGCUGCGGCAGCGCUGGAGCAUGUACCAGAUGGAGGUGAUCUUUGACAAGGUCAAGGACGCCACCGGCACUGCCGAGUCGCACGCGGUGGUGCGGCGGUUCCUGGCCCAGGGAGACACCUUCGCGAAGCUGGAGACGCUCAAAAGCGAGAACGAGCAGACGUUGGUGAGGCUGAAGCAGGAGAAGCAACAGCUGCAGCGGGAGCUGGAAGACCUCAAGUACUCGGGGGAGGCCACAAUGCCAGCAGAAACUGCAAGCCGAGGCGCGGGAACGCCUCAAGCAGGAGGAGCGGCGGCACGCCGAGGCCCAGGACCAGCUGGAGCGCACCUUGCGGGCGAUGCAAGUGGCCAAGGACAGCCUGGAGCACCUGGCCAGCAAGCUGAUCCGCAUCACUGUGGAGGACGGUCGCUUCGCGGGAAAGGAGCUGGAUCCCCAGGCAGAUAACUAUCUGCCAAACCUGCUGGGCCUCGUGGAGGAAAAGCUGCUGAAACUGCAGUCGCAGCUCGGGAGCCACGACGUCCAGGAGAUGCUGCGUCACAUCACCAACCGCGAGUUCCUUGCCAGCUUAGAGGGAAGGCUGCCCCAAUACAACACCCGCAUCGCCCUGCCGCUUCCUACUUCCAAGGACAAGUUUUUUGAUGAAGAGAGUGAGGAGGAGGACAACGAGGUAGUGACCCGCGCAUCGCUCAAGAUCCGUUCCCAGAAAUUAAUCGAAAGCCGCAAGAAGCACCAUCGCUCUCGGAGGUCCUAGACUCGUCCUGGCAGCCCCCAGCGGAGCCCCCGAUUCCUCCGGGUCUAGCGAAGGCCCCACGGGGCCCCUUUAAGGGCCGAACGCGGUCUGGAUAGGGAGCCGAGGCGGCCAGCGGCGCCCGGAGGAGAAGAAGGAGCUGGGCCAGACGUUCCCACAGUAAAUUUCCCCAGCUGGGUCUGCCCUGGCCUCAGAAUUGUGCAAUAAAGGUCACAGACCAAG